Tympanuchus pallidicinctus (lesser prairie-chicken) is the source of this 395-nucleotide long non-coding RNA. RefSeq lists it as uncharacterized. The transcript is spliced from 3 exons. NCBI's taxonomy places the organism in Eukaryota, Metazoa, Chordata, Aves, Galliformes, Phasianidae. The record is from RefSeq and is a predicted model, not a curated record.
AAAGGAUCUUUUGUAGAGAUCCCUUCAUGGUGGAGCUUUUCUUUGCAAUCCUGGAAUCUUCUGAUGUGGCCAGGUCCAUAAUCCAUUGAAGGCUCUGAAUGACUCACAUUGAUUCCCAUGGGCUUGAAUGAGGGAGUCAUCCAAGCCCUCACUGAAGAUACUGAGAGAUGGACUGAUUCCUCAGUGUGUAUAUCUCAAUUUCUGCUUAUGGCAGUGGCUUUCAAAUAUUUUCAACUUCUGGACUUCCGGCAUUCAUCUAGUGAAGCUCUUCUUUGAAAUGUGGUAUUGAUUACUGGGAAUGGAGCUUCACUUAUAAUUUUGGCAGCACUAGUGAGAGAAGGACUGUUGCACUUUUCCAACAGAAAUAUUUGUACUGUAUUAUAUGACGUUCCCUU